This is an RNA transcript of Rattus rattus (black rat), 1693 nucleotides long. It is a transcript of the gene named proline rich 15 like, with no coding region annotated. The transcript has 3 exons. The record is from RefSeq and is a predicted model, not a curated record. NCBI's taxonomy places the organism in Eukaryota, Metazoa, Chordata, Mammalia, Rodentia, Muridae.
UCAGAAGCAAGGUUGGAGAUGGAGAAGACUUGAGAGUUAGCUGGUGAGAGUCAAAACAUAGCCUGGGGUUGGAGCUAGGGUAAUGGGAACGUUUAUGCCUCCUUUUUUAGUCCUAGUACCUUGCUCUGGACUGGGCACACAUACCCAGUCCAGAGAGGAAGGGACGCAUCUGUGAAUAUAUUGGGUACAAGAAGCUGUGAAAACCCUGGAGAUGCAGCAGAUGUGUCUCACUCUGGAGAAAUAACCAUCUGAAGGCCUGGGUGCCUCAGGGCAGCCACCCGACAACACUCCCCAGGGCCAGCAGCCAGGCCGAGGUUCACCUUGACUCCUGGAGCCGCAGCGCACGCAGCAAGCAGGUACCUGCUUCUGCACCUGUCUCCUACACCUGCCCUGCAGCUGCUCCUAUCCACCUCUCCCGGCUGAGUCUGGCCAGCGCGACACCCUGGAGACACCCUCUCCUCCUCCAGUCUCACCUGCCUGGUCAGCUCCUACACUCAACUCCUCUAGGGAAAGUCGCGCCUCCAGCCCAGAGCAGUCCGGAUUACAGAAAGCUCCGCCUUGGGUUUAGGAACCGCCAUGACUGAGGUUGGUUGGUGGAAGCUGACCUUCCUCCGGAAAAAAAAAUCCACUCCCAAAGUGCUCUACGAAAUCCCCGACACCUAUGCUCAAACAGAGGGAGGUGCAGAGCCCCCAGGACCUGAUGCAGGAGAUCCUCACAGCGACUUUAACAGCCGCCUGGAGAAGAUUGUGGACAAGAACACCAAAGGCAAGCAUGUCAAAGUCUCCAACUCAGGCCGCUUCAAAGAGAAGAAAAGAGUCCGGGCCAUGUUGGCAGAGAACCCCACCCUCUUUGAUGACAGGGAGAACAAAGGACAAUGAAGGCUGCGGAAGAGGACAAUAGUGCCGCCCUGCUCCCUGCCACUGGUGGGGUCUGAGGCAGGAGCUUGCCACGCUGGCCUUUUUGGUCACAGCCACGGUGGCGGUUGAUCCCUGCUGGCAGGAACACCCGGUUCUUAGGUUUGUAUUUGUGUGCCCCAGUUUUAUGAAGCGCCUCCUCCUCAUGAUCACAUACAAAGGCACUCUGGGCCAGCAUGAAAAUCGUGACCUAGAAGUACUGCUUUCCUUGACACAGUGGCUUGGCUCACAGGGAGGUGGCAUGGCAGAGAAUAGGCAGAGAACAUGGUGGACUCCACCCAUUCUUUCCCUGGGCCAGGGGGUCAGGGGUGAAUUUGAAUCACUACUCCCUCUACUUUCACAUCCGGUGACUGUUCCCUGGGCCAAUCCAAGGAGAGCAGAGUUUCCGGAAGUCACGUGACCUUGGUUUCCUUGGCGCCAGAGGCAGAGUUGUUAAACUUGCGAUCACCUCUUAACUCAAGGAGCAAACUUCCUGGAACUUUGCUCCCAAGAGUGGAGGGGCGAAGGACACGGGCACUCCCUGGGGCGCUACUGAAGGCCAGACCAGAAAUCCUCCUGAGUUCUUACCUUGACUACCACUUGUGUGGGUGCUGAAUUACAUACCCCCAAACUGAGGCCUCACUGGCCAGCCCAAGGGUCCAAACGGGAGGAGUGGAUGGGUUUCCCCACUCCUUCCCUGAUAGUAUUUAAGAUAGAUGAUCUCCAGGACUGAAUCCCGGAGCCUUGGAUUUUGUUGGAAUAGUAGGUUUAUUAGGAAUAAACAAGGCUGCAGAACCCA